UGGGGGAUAUUGCACAAUGGGCGAAAGCCUGAUGCAGCGACGCCGCGUGGGGGAUGAAGGCCUUCGGGUUGUAAACUUCUUUUGCUCUGAACAAGGCAUGCCUUUGGGGUGUGUUGAGUGUAGGGGUUGAUUAGCGCCGGCUAACUACGUGCCAGCAGCCGCGGUAAUACGUAGGGCGCGAGCGUUGUCCGGAAUUAUUGGGCGUAAAGGGCUUGUAGGUGGCUGGUUGCGUCUGUCGUGAAAGCUCAUGGCUUAACUGUAGGUUUGCGGUGGGUACGGGCUGGCGUGAGUGCAGUAGGGGGGGCUGGAAUUCCUGGUGUAGCGGUGGAAUGCGCAGAUAUCAGGAGGAAUACCGGUGGCGAAGGCGGGUCUCUGGGCUGUUACUGACGCUGAGGAGCGAAAGCGUGGGGAGCGAACAGG
RNAcentral lists this ribosomal RNA (420 nucleotides) under Fusobacteriota bacterium. RNAcentral's name for it is "Fusobacteria bacterium partial 16S ribosomal RNA". It matches the Rfam family "Bacterial small subunit ribosomal RNA", at positions 355 to 776 of the family's 1533-position model. Lineage: Bacteria; Fusobacteriati; Fusobacteriota. The record is from RNAcentral.